Molecule: long non-coding RNA, 684 nt
Filed under: Actinia tenebrosa (Australian red waratah sea anemone)
Lineage: Eukaryota; Metazoa; Cnidaria; Anthozoa; Actiniaria; Actiniidae
Description: uncharacterized LOC116298334, transcript variant X1
Source: RNAcentral
CUGUCUUUAAAUCUAAAGGAACUUGAACUUGAGUUAAAUAUAAACCUGCUGUGAGAACGAACUACUCACUUCAAACUGUGAACCCUGAACGAAGGUGGCGGACUUCAAGUUCUUACUGCUGCAGCAUCUAUUGAGAAUUAAGUCGAAAGUUGGACAAAACCUCACCUGAAUACAAUGUACCAAGAAAGAGUGCUAUCAGUAAUCCUCGUAUUGAUCAUCGCCUUUAGUAUGCUAUGUAGUGCUGAUAACAAAUGCGAUUUUGGAAGCAGACGAUACGGACGAUUUUGCAAACGAAACCUCAGAAACAAGAGAAGAAAUCAGAUGGCUUUCUCGGGGCCCGAAGAAUAUCGAGGAGGGACGACUGGGUCACGCCUAGGUCUACAAUACCCUCCUGAAGAACUGAAAAGUUCAUAUCUGAGAGACUUGUUCCGAGACGACAACUAGGACUCUACUGACACAUCAAGUAAACACUGAAUCAAACACAGCCAUUANCCAUCCCCUUCACUAGACGAGACACCGAUCAAAGUUACUGGCAAACACCUUAAAUCAUNUGACUCGAUACGUGAUUGAUACCAUAAUGAUUGUUUGUAAAGAUUAAACAAUAAGUAUUUAUAUUGUCUAAAACGAAUUAUAAUGUAAAUUAUACGAAUAAUUUAUUAGAAGUAAAAUUGUCCUAACUAUCAA